GCCUGGGUGGCUCAGUCGGUUAAGUGUCUGACUUGGGCUCAGGUCAUGACCUCACGGUUCAUGGGUUCGAGCCCCAUAUCGGGCU
This 85-nucleotide transfer RNA is filed under the name Felis catus (domestic cat). It matches the Rfam family "tRNA". From Rfam's summary of the family: Transfer RNA (tRNA) molecules are approximately 80 nucleotides in length. Their secondary structure includes four short double-helical elements and three loops (D, anti-codon, and T loops). The record is from Rfam by way of RNAcentral. Lineage: Eukaryota; Metazoa; Chordata; Mammalia; Carnivora; Felidae. RNAcentral also lists the same sequence under 1 other name.